This 553-nucleotide ribosomal RNA is filed under the name Alternaria sp. CL-8(a). RNAcentral describes it as "eukaryotic LSU rRNA". The stretch from base 179 to 332 matches the Rfam family "5.8S ribosomal RNA". Lineage: Eukaryota; Fungi; Ascomycota; Dothideomycetes; Pleosporales; Pleosporaceae. The record is from RNAcentral.
AAGAUGGGAUCAUUACCAAUAUGACGGCGGGCUGGAAUCUCUCGGGGUUACAGCCUUGCUGAAUUAUUCACCCUUGUCUUUUGCGUACUUCUUGUUUCCUUGGUGGGUUCGCCCACCACUAGGACAAACAUAAACCUUUUGUAAUUGCAAUCAGCGUCAGUAACAAAUUAAUAAUUACAACUUUCAACAACGGAUCUCUUGGUUCUGGCAUCGAUGAAGAACGCAGCGAAAUGCGAUAAGUAGUGUGAAUUGCAGAAUUCAGUGAAUCAUCGAAUCUUUGAACGCACAUUGCGCCCUUUGGUAUUCCAAAGGGCAUGCCUGUUCAAGCGUCAUUUGUACCCUCAAGCUUUGCUUGGUGUUGGGCGUCUUGUCUCUAGCUUUGCUGGAGACUCGCCUUAAAGUAAAUGGCAGCCGGCCUACUGGUUUCGGAGCGCAGGAAAGUCGCACUCUCUAUCAGCAAAGGUCUAGCAUCCAUUAAGCCUUUUUUCAACUUUUGACCUCGGAUCAGGUACGGAUACCCGCUGAACUUAAGCAUAUCUAUUAAGCGGAGGAA